This 341-nucleotide unclassified non-coding RNA is filed under the name Polistes fuscatus (common paper wasp). Its description in RNAcentral is "neurochondrin homolog, transcript variant X2". Lineage: Eukaryota; Metazoa; Arthropoda; Insecta; Hymenoptera; Vespidae. The record is from RNAcentral.
UUCGCUUGGCUGAUAUUAAUGCCGUCUUCUUCGAUUUGGACAAUACUAUCAUCGAAACGAGAAAAGCAGACAGUCGCACUUGUCGAAAGCAACGUCCGCGGGUGCUACUUCGAGUGUCCACUAAUCGGCUCGAGUAUUUCAAUGAAUCAAUGCAUUUUCUAGCUGGCUGAGGAGCUGACGCAAGAAUAUGGAAUUCCUGAAGAAGUAUCCAUUAAAAUAACGACUACAUAUUUGAAGCUAUUCAGAAAAUGUCCAGAUAAUUGUACCUGCUCGUUAGAUGUUUGGCGAAUGAUAUUAUGGAAUAAAGCAUUAGGAGAAAAGUAUUCAUAUUUAGCCAAAAA